Molecule: ribosomal RNA, 467 nt
Filed under: uncultured bacterium
Lineage: Bacteria
Description: partial 16S ribosomal RNA
Rfam family: Bacterial small subunit ribosomal RNA
Source: RNAcentral
GACGAACGCUGGCGGCGUGCUUAACACAUGCAAGUCGAACGGAAAGGCCCUGCUUUUGUGGGGUGCUCGAGUGGCGAACGGGUGAGUAACACGUGAGUAACCUGCCCUUGACUUUGGGAUAACUUCAGGAAACUGGGGCUAAUACCGGAUAGGAGCUCCUGCUGCAUGGUGGGGGUUGGAAAGUUUCGGCGGUUGGGGAUGGACUCGCGGCUUAUCAGCUUGUUGGUGGGGUAGUGGCUUACCAAGGCUUUGACGGGUAGCCGGCCUGAGAGGGUGACCGGCCACAUUGGGACUGGGAUACGGCCCAGACUCCUACGGGGGGAAGCAGUGGGGAAUAUUGCACAAUGGGCGGAGGCCUGAUGCAGCAACGCCGCGUGCGGGAUGACGGCCUUCGGGUUGUAAACCGCUUUCGCCUGUGACGAGGCGUGAGUGACGGUAAUGGUAAAGAAGCACCGGCUAACUACGUG